CAAUAGCGUAUAUUAAAGUUGUUGCAGUUAAAAAGCUCGUAGUUGGAUUUCUUGCAGGAGCGACCGGUCACACACUCUGUGUGUGAACUUGCGUUGUCUCUGGCCAUCCUUGGGAAGAUCCUGUUUGGCAUUAAGUUGUCGGGCAGGGGAUACCCAUCGUUUACUGUGAAAAAAUUAGAGUGUUUAAAGCAGGCUUAUGCCGUUGAAUAUAUUAGCAUGGAAUAAUAAGAUAGGACUUCGGAACUAUUUUGUUGGUUUGCGUUACGAAGUAAUGAUUAAUAGGGACAGUUGGGGGUAUUCGUAUUUCGUUGUCAGAGGUGAAAUUCUUGGAUUUCCGAAAGACGAACUACUGCGAAAGCAUUUACCAAGGAUGUUUUCAUUAA
This 383-nucleotide ribosomal RNA is filed under the name uncultured eukaryote. RNAcentral's name for it is "partial 18S ribosomal RNA". It matches the Rfam family "Eukaryotic small subunit ribosomal RNA", at positions 592 to 976 of the family's 1831-position model. The record is from RNAcentral.